This 1686-nucleotide ribosomal RNA is filed under the name Triticum aestivum (bread wheat). Its description in RNAcentral is "partial small subunit ribosomal RNA". The record is from RNAcentral. Lineage: Eukaryota; Viridiplantae; Streptophyta; Magnoliopsida; Poales; Poaceae.
AUGUCUGCUUCUGGAGGGAUCUCUGGGUCCGGAAGCGGGCAGCGGCGAGACCUCGGGGACCGGGGACAUUCUGGAUCGAGCACGGAUUCAAGUGGAUCCUCUUCCACAACAACGAAGAAGAAAGCAAAGCCAAUCCCCUUGAAUGACUUCUUGACUAGGAAGCAUGGUAAUCCUGCUGUUUCCUCAGCAUGGAACAAAGUUCAAGAUCCUGCACAACCUCUCUCGAGUGGUUCCUCCUCAGAGCUCUCAAAUCUGGGUCUUCAGCUGGCCCGUCAAGUCAUUGCCCGUCGAGCCAUGGCCAGUCAAGCCCUGUCAGAGCUUGGCCUUGAAACCAAUAUCUUGAAGAGAGAGUACUACAACCUGCUGAAGAGCUAUGGAUGGUUUUUGAAAACAACAACUAAUUUUCUUAAGACCCAAAGUCUUUUUGAUGAAGAAAAUAUAGGAGCUGUGACAUUGGAUUUUGUAAAUCUCCCUAUGACGAUGAGGUCUUUUUCUGAGUAUGAUUCUGUAGACUUGGUGAAAAGGGACAUAUCAGCGCUUGGUCGGACGCAUGAUCUACUGCUAACCAUCUUCCAUGGAAGGCAAGUAUACAUCAGCGCCGAGAAGCAUGUCUUUGAGCAGCAUGCAGCUGGUAAAUCGUGGGCUGGUGACUUUACAGCGGAAGAUAUCUAUAUCAUACAGUUCACCUCCACUGAUAUCAAGUGCCAUAUCCGAGCCAAGAGCAAUACCAUACCAUGCACUUCAGACAACAAGGUUCUAGAUAUUAAGCAGAUUCACAAGUCAAUGGCAGAUAAGUACCAAUUCAAUGGUAACUUUCCUGCACAUUUCGAGUGCCUUGAAAAGGAUAUCAAUUCUCUGACUGCUGUUUCAUUGGAUACAAGCUCGAUAUUGACGUAUCUUCCUUACCACGCGGCAUUCAUGCCACGUGGGGCAAAUGAGGCCAUAACACAGAAGUUACAUGACGCUACUGAGGGCGUCUGGAUGGAGCCUGACGAGUUUCAAACUUAUCGCUUGCUGUUUGAGUCAAACCCAGUUGACGGUGAUGAUUGGAGAUUGGGGUAUUGCAAAUCUACAGACCCAUUGCUGAAAAAGGUGUACUUGCAUGACUACAGAACUGCUUUCCAGAACAUCUAUGGGAACACAGGGGUCCAGCUGACCUCCGGCAACACAGCUCGUGACCACAUGCAGGCCCAGCUGACCCCCGACAACACGGAGGCCCAGCUGACCCCCGACAACACCAAGGCCCAGCUCACCCCUGACAACACCCAGGCCCAGCAGUCUCAGGGGAGCUCAAGCACCGUCAAAGGGGUGACCCCUGACAACAUGGAGGCCCAGCUGACCCCCGACAACACCAAGGCCCAGCUGACCCCUGACAACACCCAGGCCCAGCAGUCUCAGGGGAGCUCAAGCACCGUCAAAGGCACGGGGGCUGGAAACAAAUUCAACAAAAGCAGGAAAAGUAAGCUUUCCUACAAACGUCACCUGAACGUCCAUAUCCAUACCCACAUGAAAGGUCAGAGGCCGUUGAGAGGCUUGUAUCAAGCAGAGUUGUAUUCUGCAAAGAAGAAUCCUGUUCUAGGAGAAAUCUUCACUGAGCUGUUCAAUGGCCCGACCAUGAAAUUACCUAAAUUCUUUGGUCCCAUGUGGGAGCUGUACUGUGCAGCGAGGGACGCCCAGGUUGAAUGA